RNAcentral lists this non-coding RNA (48 nucleotides) under Schistosoma mansoni. The record is from RNAcentral. Lineage: Eukaryota; Metazoa; Platyhelminthes; Trematoda; Strigeidida; Schistosomatidae.
AUCCAGCUGACGAGUCCCAGAUGGGACGAAACGCGCGUCAAGCUGGAU